GUCGAACGAUGAACCUGGAGCUUGCUCUAGGGAAUUAGUGGCGAACGGGUGAUAACACGUGAGUAACCUGCCCUUGACUCUGGGAUAACCUCCGGAAACGGAAGCUAAUACCGGAUAUGACGCACGGAGGCAUCUCCUGUGCGUGGAAAGAACUUCGGUCAAGGAUGGACUCGCGGCCUAUCAGGUAGUUGGUGAGGUAACGGCUCACCAAGCCUACGACGGGUAGCCGGCCUGAGAGGGUGACCGGCCACACUGGGACUGAGACACGGCCCAGACUCCUACGGGAGGCAGCAGUGGGGAAUAUUGCACAAUGGGCGCAAGCCUGAUGCAGCAACGCCGCGUGAGGGACGACGGCCUUCGGGUUGUAAACCUCUUUUAGUAGGGAAGAAGCGAAAGUGACGGUACCUGCAGAAAAAGCCCGGCUAACUACGUGCCAGCAGCCGCGGUAAUACGUAGGGUGCGAGCGUUGUCCGGAAAUUGGGCGUAAAGAGCUCGAGGCGGCUGUCGCGUCUGCUGUGAAAACCCGAGGCUCAACCUCGGGCCUGCAGUGGGUACGGGCAGACUAAUGCGGUAGGGGAGAAUGAAUUCCGUGUAGCGUGAAUGCGCAGAUAUCAGGAGGAACACCGAUGGCGAAGGCAGUUCUCUGGGCCGUAACUGAC
RNAcentral lists this ribosomal RNA (659 nucleotides) under Leifsonia shinshuensis. RNAcentral's name for it is "bacterial SSU rRNA". It matches the Rfam family "Bacterial small subunit ribosomal RNA", at positions 61 to 744 of the family's 1533-position model. Lineage: Bacteria; Bacillati; Actinomycetota; Actinomycetes; Micrococcales; Microbacteriaceae. The record is from RNAcentral.